AUACAGAUGACGGGGAUGGGCGUGGCCUAUUCACCCAGGGCGAGGUUCAGCCAUUGCACCUCAGCUGUGCUGACCUUUGCAAAUUCCCCAAAUGUGGGAACUCGACUGCAUAAUUUCUGGUAGUGGGGACUGCGUUCACGCUCUCCUGA
Molecule: small nuclear RNA, 149 nt
Filed under: Seriola dumerili (greater amberjack)
Lineage: Eukaryota; Metazoa; Chordata; Actinopteri; Carangiformes; Carangidae
Description: U1 spliceosomal RNA (ENSSDUG00000017534.1)
Rfam family: U1 spliceosomal RNA
About the family: U1 is a small nuclear RNA (snRNA) component of the spliceosome (involved in pre-mRNA splicing). Its 5' end forms complementary base pairs with the 5' splice junction, thus defining the 5' donor site of an intron. There are significant differences in sequence and secondary structure between metazoan and yeast U1 snRNAs, the latter being much longer (568 nucleotides as compared to 164 nucleotides in human).
Source: RNAcentral